Molecule: ribosomal RNA, 561 nt
Filed under: Xylaria cf. bambusicola BCC 23627
Lineage: Eukaryota; Fungi; Ascomycota; Sordariomycetes; Xylariales; Xylariaceae
Description: eukaryotic LSU rRNA
Rfam family: Eukaryotic large subunit ribosomal RNA
Source: RNAcentral
AAACCAACAGGGAUUGCCUUAGUAACGGCGAGUGAAGCGGCAACAGCUCAAAUUUGAAAUCUGGCCUUCGGGUCCGAGUUGUAAUUUGUAGAGGAUGCUUUUGGCGCGGUGCCUUCCGAGUUCCCUGGAACGGGACCCUUAGAGGGUGAGAGCCCCGUACGGUUGGACACCAAGCCUCUGUAAAGCUCCUUCGACGAGUCGAGUAGUUUGGGAAUGCUGCUCUAAAUGGGAGGUAAAUUUCUUCUAAAGCUAAAUAUUGGCCAGAGACCGAUAGCGCACAAGUAGAGUGAUCGAAAGAUGAAAAGCACUUUGAAAAGAGGGUUAAAUAGCACGUGAAAUUGUUGAAAGGGAAGCGUUUGCGACCAGACUUUUUCCUAGCGGAUCAUCCGGUGUUCUCACCGGUGCACUUCGCUAGGUGAAGGCCAGCAUCGGUUUCUGUAGGGGGAUAAAAGCUUGGGGAAUGUAGCUCCCUCGGGAGUGUUAUAGCCCUUUGCAUAAUACCCUUACGGGGACCGAGGACCGCGCUUUUGCAAGGAUGCUGGCGUAAUGGUUGUCAACGAC